RNAcentral lists this ribosomal RNA (497 nucleotides) under uncultured bacterium. RNAcentral's name for it is "partial 16S ribosomal RNA". It matches the Rfam family "Bacterial small subunit ribosomal RNA", at positions 28 to 507 of the family's 1533-position model. The record is from RNAcentral.
GAUGAACGCUGGCGGCGUGCCUAAUACAUGCAAGUCGAGCGAACAGACGAGGAGCUUGCUCCUCUGACGUUAGCGGCGGACGGGUGAGUAACACGUGGAUAACCUACCUAUAAGACUGGGAUAACUUCGGGAAACCGGAGCUAAUACCGGAUAAUAUAUUGAACCGCAUGGUUCAAUAGUGAAAGACGGUUUUGCUGUCACUUAUAGAUGGAUCCGCGCCGCAUUAGCUAGUUGGUAAGGUAACGGCUUACCAAGGCGACGAUGCGUAGCCGACCUGAGAGAGUGAUCGGCCACACUGGAACUGAGACACGGUCCAGACGCCUACGGGAGGCAGCAGUAGGGAAUCGUCCGCAAUGGGCGAAAGCCUGACGGAGCAACGCCGCGUGAGUGAUGAAGGUCUUCGGAUCGUAAAACUCUGUUAUUAGGGAAGAACAAAUGUGUAAGUAACUAUGCACGUCUUGACGGUACCUAAUCAGAAAGCCACGGCUAACUACGUG